Molecule: ribosomal RNA, 460 nt
Filed under: uncultured bacterium
Lineage: Bacteria
Description: partial 16S ribosomal RNA
Rfam family: Bacterial small subunit ribosomal RNA
Source: RNAcentral
CCUACGGGAGGCUGCAGUGAGGAAUAUUGGUCAAUGGACGAGAGUCUGAACCAGCCAAGUAGCGUGAAGGAUGACUGCCCUAUGGGUUGUAAACUUCUUUUAUAUGGGAAUAAAAUGUUCCACGUGUGGGAUUUUGUAUGUACCAUAUGAAUAAGGAUCGGCUAACUCCGUGCCAGCAGCCGCGGUAAUACGGCGGAUCCGAGCGUUAGCCGGAUUUAUUGGGUUUAAAGGGUGCGUAGGUGGAUUGUUAAGUCAGUUGUGAAAGUUUGCGGCUCAACCGUAAAAUUGCAGUUGAAACUGGCAGUCUUGAGUACAGUAGAGGUGGGCGGAAUUCGUGGUGGAGCGGUGAAAUGCUUAGAUAUCACGAAGAACUCCGAUUGCGAAGGCAGUUCACUGGACUGCAACUGACACUGAGGCUCGAAAGUGUGGGUAUCAAACAGGAUUAGAUACCCUUGUAGUC